RNAcentral lists this ribosomal RNA (629 nucleotides) under uncultured bacterium. RNAcentral describes it as "bacterial SSU rRNA". The stretch from base 1 to 541 matches the Rfam family "Bacterial small subunit ribosomal RNA", at positions 338 to 873 of the family's 1533-position model. The record is from RNAcentral.
CCUACGGGAGGCAGCAGUGGGGAAGUAUUGGACAAUGGGCGAAAGCCUGAUCCAGCAAUUCCGCGUGUGUGAAGAAGGCCUUCGGGUUGUAAAGCACUUUAGUGAGGGAAGAAACAGCUUGGCCACACCAAGCCUUGACGGUACCCCAAGAAUAAGCACCGGCUAACUCUGUGCCAGCAGCCGCGGUAAUACAGAGGGUGCAAGCGUUAAUCGGAUUUACUGGGCGUAAAGGGUGCGUAGGUGGCUAUUUAAGUCGGAUGUGAAAGCCCGGGGCUCAACCUCGGAAUUGCAUUCGAUACUGAGUGGCUAGAGUUCGGUAGAGGGCGGCGGAAUUUCCGGUGUAGCGGUGAAAUGCGUAGAUAUCGGAAGGAACAUCAAUGGCGAAGGCAGCCGCCUGGGCCUGGACUGACACUGAGGCACGAAAGCGUGGGUAGCAAACAGGAUUAGAUACCCUGGUAGUCCACGCCGUAAACGAUGAGAACUUGACGUUGGUUCGUUUUACGAAUCGGUGUCGCNGCUACGACGAGUAGUUACGUCCGUCCGUCGGAGGUACGGUCCGGCGACGUAGUAACGUACGAACGAAGUAGUACGGCGUGAGACGUGCGACGACGACGACGACGGGAGGUAGG